UUUCAAUUUUACUUUUGUUAACAUUUUUUUAAAAAAAAUUGAGGGGCGUAAGGAGACAGCUUCACUCUCUUCAAACACCUUCCUUGACGUGACUUUUUUUUCAUGUUUUGAUGUAAAAUAUACGAAGUAAUGUGCUUGCUGACUGAGUGUUGUCUAUCCUGUAUCUUAAUUCAGUCCCUCAUACCAGUUCUGAAUUUCAGUUGCCAACAACGUAAGGAACCGAAAACUGCGCAUGGUCCAGUUUUCAUUUUGUAGGACUUAAUAUUAACAGCCAGUUGUAAUAAAUACGGUUCAUUUUUUA
Long non-coding RNA from Pipistrellus kuhlii (Kuhl's pipistrelle), 301 nucleotides. RefSeq lists it as uncharacterized. The record is from RefSeq and is a predicted model, not a curated record. The transcript has 3 exons. NCBI's taxonomy places the organism in Eukaryota, Metazoa, Chordata, Mammalia, Chiroptera, Vespertilionidae.